RNAcentral lists this ribosomal RNA (424 nucleotides) under Verrucomicrobiota bacterium. RNAcentral describes it as "Verrucomicrobia bacterium partial 16S ribosomal RNA". It matches the Rfam family "Bacterial small subunit ribosomal RNA", at positions 355 to 776 of the family's 1533-position model. Lineage: Bacteria; Pseudomonadati; Verrucomicrobiota. The record is from RNAcentral.
UGAGGAAUAUUGGUCAAUGGGCGAGAGCCUGAACCAGCCAAGUAGCGUGCAGGACGACGGCCCUAUGGGUUGUAAACUGCUUUUAUGUGGGGAUAAAGUGCGUGACGUGUCAUGCAUUGCAGGUACCACAUGAAUAAGGACCGGCUAAUUCCGAGCCAGCAGCCGCGGUAAUACGGAAGGUCCGGGCGUUAUCCGGAUUUAUUGGGUUUAAAGGGAGCGUAGGCUGUCUAUUAAGCGUGUUGUGAAAUUUACCGGCUCAACCGGUGGCUUGCAGCGCGAACUGGUCGACUUGAGUAUGCAGGAAGUAGGCGGAAUUCAUGGUGUAGCGGUGAAAUGCUUAGAUAUCAUGACGAACUCCGAUUGCGCAGGCAGCUUACUGUAGCAUAACUGACGCUGAUGCUCGAAAGUGCGGGUAUCAAACAGG